GCUAAUGCAGUCGAGCGCUUGGUUAAGACGUUGGCUUGUUGACUGUCGCGGGGGACGGGUGAGUAACGUGUGGGGAACCCUGCCUGAUGACUGGGAUAACUGGGGGAAAACGGGGCUUAAUCCCGAAAACAUUUUGAACAGCAAGGAGGGAAAUUUUCGGGCCUCUUCGGCUGUCACGUACCCAUGGACCCUCGUCUCCCUAGCGAGGUGGUGAGGUAACUGCUCACCAAUGCAUCGAUGGUUAGACAACAUGACCGGGUGAUCUAGGCACUGAGGGACUGAUGGGACUGCCACACUCCUACGGGAGGCAGAAGCAUGGAAUCUUCGGAAUGGAUGAAAGUCUGACGGAUCUGACCCGAAGCGUGAUGAAGGUUUUCAAGGUUUUCGGAUCUGUUGUAAGGGAAGAACGAGGGCUACUUGAACAAUCUGGACUGUUGGUCGCCUGACAGCAUCUAGCCACGGCGACCCACGUGCCUACAUGCCCGGUACUGCGUAGGUGCCUAGGGUUUUCCGGAUUUAUUGGGCUUAUGGGCCGCGCGCGGAGGUUUCUUGAUUUUGAUGUUGAAAGCCCACCGGGCUCCACCCGUGGAGGCGUCAUUGGAAACUGGGAGACUGGAGUGCCUGAGAGGAGAAGGGGUGAAAUUCCGUGUUACCUGUGAAAUGCGGUAAAUAUAUGGAGGAACACCAGUGGCCCAGUGGACUUUGUGGUCUUCUACUGUCUGAGGCGCUAAAGCUUGGGAGACCAGACAAGCUUACAUGCCCUGGUAGCUCCACGCCGUCCACGAAUGAGUGCUAAAUGUUUGAGUGUUUCCAGCCCUUUCAUGCUGAAGUUCACGCAUUAAGCGCUCCACCAGUCGAGCAGGGCCGCACGGCUGAAACUCUGAGGAAUCUCACGGAGGCCCCGCACGCCCGGCGGAGCAUGUGGUUUAAUUCGUAGAAAUCGCAAAGAACCUUACCAGGUCUUGACGUCCUCUGAACACCUCUAGCAGAUCUAGCAUUCUCCCUUCGUGGAACUCAGUGACAGGUGGUGCAUGGUUGCCGUCCUCUCGUCUCGUCAUGAUGUUGGGUUAAGUCCGCUCAACGACCGCCAACCCUUAUCUUAGUUCCCAUCAUUUAGUUGAGCUCUUUAAAGGGACCGCCCGUGACAAACCGGAGGAAAGUGGGGAAGACGUCAAAUCAUCAUGCCCCUUAUGACCUGGGCUCUCAACCUGCUACAAUGGGCAGUACAAAGAGGAGCAAGCCCGCGAGGUCCAACAAAUCUUCUAAAAUCGUUUUCAAUUUGCAAUGCAGGUUGCAACUUGCCUUCCUGAAAGUGGAAUCGCUAGUAAUCGCGGAUCAGCACGCCCCGGUGAAUACGUUCCCGGGCCUUGUACCCCCCGCCCGUCACACCACGAGAGUUUGUAACCCCAGAAGUCGGGGAGGUAACCUUGAACCACCGCCAAGA
This 1444-nucleotide ribosomal RNA is filed under the name Staphylococcus saprophyticus. RNAcentral describes it as "bacterial SSU rRNA". It matches the Rfam family "Bacterial small subunit ribosomal RNA". Lineage: Bacteria; Bacillati; Bacillota; Bacilli; Caryophanales; Staphylococcaceae. The record is from RNAcentral.